CUUACAUGGUGGCAGAGGUGCCGAGCGGAAAUGGCCACGCCGCCAGCCCUUUUGCCGUCAACGAUCUUGCCGCCGCCAAAGCCGUUGGAUACAUCGGGCAACACCUGGCUUGCAUGGAAAACUUGGAAGAAGACUGAUGGGAAGGCAGACGAGGACCCUGCUGCCCGUACCCACAAGCCACCUGGUGCCGGAGACUGUGCCCAACCGAGCCGUCCAUAACCGUCUCCAGGAAAUUCGCCAACGCCAGAGAAUCUACUACAAUCGCCGCUCCAGGAACCUGCCACCCCUGUCACCUGGCCAGAGGGUGACUACAUACGAUACCCACGAAAGGACCUGGACACCUGCGGUCUUUCUCAGGCCAGCUGAGACGCCGCGCUCCGUGGUGGUGAAGACUGAGGAGAGCCAGGAAAUUAGACGUACUCGCGAGCAUCUGCGAGACGCACCUACACAUACCGAAGAGAGUCCUCGUGACGGGUCCGAACGACUAGACGACGCCCAGCCCGCUCAAGAGCUACGUAGAAGCACAAGGACACGCCGGGAGCCCUGCCGCUACCCACAACCAGAAAGAGCUGUGUAAUUAACUUCUUCCCCAAGAAAAG
Molecule: long non-coding RNA, 599 nt
Organism: Rhipicephalus sanguineus (brown dog tick)
Lineage: Eukaryota; Metazoa; Arthropoda; Arachnida; Ixodida; Ixodidae
Exons: 2
Source: RefSeq, a predicted model, not a curated record